RNAcentral lists this ribosomal RNA (301 nucleotides) under uncultured bacterium. RNAcentral's name for it is "partial 16S ribosomal RNA". It matches the Rfam family "Bacterial small subunit ribosomal RNA", at positions 509 to 807 of the family's 1533-position model. The record is from RNAcentral.
CAGUAGCCGCGGUAAUACGUAGGGUGCAAGCGUUAAUCGGAAUUACUGGGCGUAAAGCGUGCGCAGGCGGUUAUAUAAGACAGAUGUGAAAUCCCCGGGCUCAACCUGGGAACUGCAUUUGUGACUGUAUAGCUAGAUUACGGCAGAGGGGGAUGGAAUUCCGCGUGUAGCAGUGAAAUGCGUAGAUAUGCGGAGGAACACCGAUGGCGAAGGCAAUCCCCUGGGCCUGCACUGACGCUCAUGCACGAAAGCGUGGGGAGCAAACAGGAUUAGAUACCCCCGUAGUCCCUGUCUCUUAUAC